CAUGGCCUCCUGCAACCCACAAAUAAGAGGUCCAACCUGCCCAGUGACAAUAAGUUUAACGGCCGCGGUAUUUUAACCGUGCUAAGGUAGCGUAAUCACUUGUCUUUUAAAUGAAGACCCGUAUGAAAGGUGUCACGAGGGCCCCCCUGUCUCCUACUUCAAGUCUAUGAAAUUGAUCUGCCCGUGCAGAAGCGGACAUACCCACAUAAGACGAGAAGACCCUGUGGAGCUUAAGACUAUUGACCAAUCAUGCCUAAUAAUCUACUCACCAAACACCAUAAAAGACCAAACAAGCCCAAUGAUAAUGGUUUAAUAUCUUCGGUUGGGGCGACCAUGGGGGAUAAAAAAGCCCCCAAGAAGAAACAGGGGAUCAACUCCACUAAUCCCUAAGAGUCAAGAGCUACAACUCUAAACAACAGAAACACCUGACUAAUAAUGAUCCAGAGACCAUCUCUGAUCAACGAACCAAGUUACCCCAGGGAUAACAGCGCAAUCCUUUCCAAGAGUCCAUAUCGCCGAAAGGGUUUACGACCUCGAUGUUGGAUCAGGACAUCCUAGUGGCGAAAAUUCUACCAAGGGUUCGUUUGUUCAACGAUUAAAGUCCUACGUGAU
Molecule: ribosomal RNA, 612 nt
Filed under: Petrocephalus schoutedeni
Lineage: Eukaryota; Metazoa; Chordata; Actinopteri; Osteoglossiformes; Mormyridae
Description: partial 16S ribosomal RNA
Rfam family: Bacterial large subunit ribosomal RNA
Source: RNAcentral